CAAUAAGCGGAGGAAAAGAAACUAACCAGGAUUCCCCUAGUAGCGGCGAGCGAACCGGGAAGAGCCCAAAUUUAAAAUCUCCAGCUUUCAGCUGGCGAAUUGUAGUCUCUAGAGGCAUUAUCUUCAGCUAGCCGAUCCAAAGUUCCCCUGGAAAGGGACGUCCAAGAGGGUGAGAACCCCGUAGGUGAGGUGAAGCUGUAUCACGAUGUGCUUUCGCAGAGUCGGGUUGCUUGGGAAUGCAGCCCAAAGUAGGUGGUAAAUCCCAUCUAAGGCUAAAUACUGGCGGGAGACCGAUAGUGAACAAGUACCGUGAGGGAAACGAUGCAAAGAACUUUGAAAAGAGAGUUAAAAGUGCUUGAAAUUGUUGAGGGGGAAGGGAUUGGAAGGCUAAUGUGUGUUCUUGGGUUUGAUGCGGGCAGUUCUGCCCGUUGAUGCGCCAUGAACCUGCCAGCAUCGGCUCGGCAGCCGGGACAAAAGCUGCUCAUGUACGCAGUCUAUGCCGGCUGCUGGGCCGAGGAUAAAGGGCGCUCUCUGAGUCCUUCGGGAACGGCGCCCUCUGGAUGCUGGCUUUACGCCUCCAAUCUGCCC
RNAcentral lists this ribosomal RNA (588 nucleotides) under uncultured Trebouxiophyceae. RNAcentral describes it as "partial large subunit ribosomal RNA". It matches the Rfam family "Eukaryotic large subunit ribosomal RNA", at positions 44 to 650 of the family's 3401-position model. Lineage: Eukaryota; Viridiplantae; Chlorophyta; Trebouxiophyceae. The record is from RNAcentral.